RNAcentral lists this microRNA (24 nucleotides) under Cordylochernes scorpioides. Lineage: Eukaryota; Metazoa; Arthropoda; Arachnida; Pseudoscorpiones; Chernetidae. The record is from RNAcentral.
CAAAACUGUUGACCUUGACUUGUA